GAUGAACGCUGGCGGCGUGCCUAAUACAUGCAAGUCGAGCGAACAGACGAGGAGCUUGCUCCUCUGACGUUAGCGGCGGACGGGUGAGUAACACGUGGAUAACCUACCUAUAAGACUGGGAUAACUUCGGGAAACCGGAGCUAAUACCGGAUAAUAUAUUGAACCGCAUGGUUCAAUAGUGAAAGACGGUUUUGCUGUCACUUAUAGAUGGAUCCGCGCCGCAUUAGCUAGUUGGUAAGGUAACGGCUUACCAAGGCAACGAUGCGUAGCCGACCUGAGAGGGUGAUGGGCCACACUGGAACUGGAACCCGGCCCAGACCCCUACGGGGGGCAGCAGGGGGGAAUUUUCCGAAAUGGGCGAAAGCCUGACGGAGCAACGCCGGGUGAGGGAUGAAGGUCUUCGGAUCGUAAAACUCUGUUAUUAGGGAAAAAAAAAUGUGUAAGUAACUAUGCACGUCUUGACGGUACCAAAUCAGAAAGCCACGGCUAACUACGU
RNAcentral lists this ribosomal RNA (496 nucleotides) under uncultured bacterium. Its description in RNAcentral is "partial 16S ribosomal RNA". It matches the Rfam family "Bacterial small subunit ribosomal RNA", at positions 28 to 506 of the family's 1533-position model. The record is from RNAcentral.